UACGGAGGGUGCGAGCGUUGUCCGGAAUCACUGGGCGUAAAGGGCGCGUAGGCGGCUGUGUAAGUCACUUGUGAAAUCCCGGGGCUCAACUCCGGGGCUGCAGGUGAGACUGCAUGGCUAGAGCACGGUAGAGGCAAGUGGAAUUCCCGGUGUAGCGGUUGAAUGCGUAGAUAUCGGGAAGAACACCGGUGGCGAAGGCGGCUUGCUGGGCCGUUGCUGACGCUGAUGCGCGAAAGCGUGGGGAGCGAUCCGG
Molecule: ribosomal RNA, 253 nt
Filed under: uncultured bacterium
Lineage: Bacteria
Description: partial 16S ribosomal RNA
Rfam family: Bacterial small subunit ribosomal RNA
Source: RNAcentral